This 253-nucleotide ribosomal RNA is filed under the name uncultured bacterium. RNAcentral's name for it is "partial 16S ribosomal RNA". It matches the Rfam family "Bacterial small subunit ribosomal RNA", at positions 524 to 776 of the family's 1533-position model. The record is from RNAcentral.
GACGAACCGAGCGAACGUUGUUCGGAAUCACUGGGCUUAAAGGGCGCGUAGGCGGGCUGCCGCGUCCGGGGUGAAAUCCCACGGCUCAACCGUGGAACGGCCCCGGGUACGGGCGGCCUCGAGGGGGGUAGGGGCGUGCGGAACUGUGGGUGGAGCGGUGAAAUGCGUUGAGAUCCACAGGAACUCCGGUGGCGAAGGCGGCAUUCUGGACCGAUAUUGACGCUGAGGAGCGAAAGCCAGGGGAGCAAACGGG